CUUCACUUCCUCUUUUUUAAGCCCUGGAAGAUCUGCCUUGAAGACAUGGGCUUCUGGUGUCUCUUUCCAAUCCACGCGGGUGUUUACAAAAGCUGAAUUUUCAUGAGAAAGGAGAGAAUUUGAGGUGGAAGUGAAAGGAGAGAAGUCCUUGAACGGAUUCCAAAUAUCAAAAGAAGAGAAUGGAUCGAUAAUGCUUCUGCCUCGGUGGUUGUCUAAGAAGCUUGGAAUCAUUUCCAUCUUUUCCAGAAAAUCUUGUAGCUUGAUGGGUUGCUGUUAAUCACCUGACUGGUUCCUUGUUCUUGAUUCUCGAUGUCAUGUGAGAGGCGACACGGAUUGGUAUUUAUAAUAAGUAAACGAGCCAUCUGGUACAUUCUGGACGGUCGCCUUGGACCCUGUUUCAGGAAAAAUCUGGGUCCACACCCAGAUUUUAAUUUGAGAAAUUGAGGAACUUACUCGAAAGUUCCUGUUUCUUUGUGGCUGUAGAUUUAAACUGUGGGCCGAUUGGGCUGGAAUAUAUAAUGGGCCUAAGCCUUGGUUUCGUAUUUUGCUUUUGGGCUUUGUAAUGUUUGAUUUCCCUUUUGUAUACAACAGAUGAUUUUUCUUUUGUAUCAGUUUAAUAUAGGGGUGAUUUAUGGAUUCCGUUUUAAGAUCCCAGUAAAAAAUUUCAUUAAGUUGUUUAUGGGUUGGGAAAGCUCUUGGUGAAGACAACCCAUGGAUCAUUGUAAAUAAAAUUCAAUAGUAACUUUGAAAAGCUUAAAAAAUUGUAAAAAUAAUUUCAUUAAGUUGUUUAUGGGCCUGAGCCUUGGUUUCGUAUUUUUUAAUAUUUUUUAAUAUAUUAAUAUCAAAAAUAAAUUUAAAAAAAUAAAAACUAUAUAAUUUUAAUAUAUUUCUAAACAAAAACUAUCUAAAAAAGCAAUUUCUACUCCUAUUUUAUACCACCCCUGAAAUAUAUGAAUUUAUUUGGAAGUAUGGUUGCGGUUGUUUUUCAAAGUGUUUUUCACUCAGAAAUAUAUCAAAAUAAUAUUUUUUUUUAUUUUUUAAAAAUUAUUUUUGAUAUGAGCGUAUCAAACUGAUUUAAAAACACUAAAAAAUAUUAAUUUGAAGCAAAUAAAAAAAUAUAAAAAAUUUAAUUUUUUUAAAAUACUUUUGAAAUGAAAAAAAAAAAAUAUGUAUCUCAGUUUGAAAAUGACCAUUAGUUUACAAUGUAUAUGGUAUCGUUUUCAGCUCGUUCACUUAAGAAAUUAUGGGUCACCUUCAACUCUAAUUUCCAAAAGAAAAUAACAAAACUAAACAGCCAAGAAAGAUGGGACGAUGCAUUUUGGCACAGGGCCAAAAGCCAAACUACUCGCCUUCCUAGGAAUUACUUGCACGCACCCACUUCUUCCUAUCCUACAGCCUUCUUGCGCAUGAGCUCAAUUCUCUGGAAAAAAUAUUUCAAAUUCCGGUUGCACAUACCAUCUUAACACAGACAGACUUCAAUGGCAACAUUAGGGUGCAAUGACACUGAUGCGAAGAAAACUGAAGUCGAAAGCUUGCAGGUUCUUAGACCUGUGGGCUCCCAAGGCGGAGGAACUGAAGGACUUCCUUAUCUGUACCAUCGACCAAUGCACAAAGGUCUAGCAAAGGCAGAUGAUGAUUAUGUCACCGAGGCAUUCAAACAACUUCCUAUGCCAGAUCAAGAGAAACUUAUAGAAGAACUUUCUAGCCAGCUUCAUCAAGAUGUUAUGGUUGAAAAGUUGUUCGACGAGAGUGAAGAAGCUUAUAGACUAAGAUGUUUCACAGAGCUGCAUAUGAAGCUUCCAUCGGAUAGCCGCCAAGGUUUCAAUAACGAAUUUCGCCGGAGAUACUAUUCAAUCAGAGGUUCUUCUUUACAGUCCCUACAUUGAUGCUUGGUGUUUGGUUAUGGUUACCAAAGUCAAAGCCCAAAAUCAUUUUAUUUUUUUUGGAAAUUGAUUAUUAGCACCAAUUAGCAACAGAGAAUAACAAUCCAGAAUUUUUAAAAAUCAAUUAUGCACUAGUAUCGUUUUAAUUAAAUAAUGCUUUUUUUAAUGUUAAAAACACUUAAGAAUUAACAAUAUUUAAUAAUUUUCUCCAACUGCAGAUACAUAAACUUACAAAUCGAGGUGUUUUGCAGGGUUGCCAUUGAAGCUUCCCUUUAAUAGCUACAAUAGAUUCAAGAAUAAUUACAAUCAGUGUUAUCCUUGCAAUACUAUAGGCACACAAGUUUCUGGAACAAUUGUUUCUGGGAUAUGUGAAGGAUUUGGUCAGCAGAUCGUUCAACAGAUUUUUGAAGGUAUAGUAGGUGGAAGUGAAGAGUCUUCUUUAACACUGGAGUUCUUCAAGGUGAAAACCCUGGAUUUGCGAGGAGCAAACGAAGUGGGAACCGGUACGACUUCUACAACCACUCGGUAAAAAUAGCAGGCUAUGGAAGGACGUUACAAAUUUGAUCGUGGCAAUCAAAUAGAUAUGGUAGCUUUGGUGAGAAUCCGAGACUGUACUUUUGAUGUUUCUCCUGAGGUCUUUUGUUGCUCUUAUGAAGCCUUCAGGAUGAUUUUGAUUCUAUCUGUAUGAAGUAAUACCUAUAAACUACUAAUUAUUGUAAGACGUGAUAUAUUUAUUGUAACACAGGAUGAGAUUUUAAUGCUAUGAUAAAUUUGUGAUUAUAGCGUUGGCUUGAUGGGGUUUGGAUUUGCAGUUAAGAGAGCCUUCCUCUGUCGCCAGAAUUAAUGAUCUUUCAGAGGCACUCUAUGUUGAAGUUCAAGGCGAUAAAGAAAGUAUAAAAAUAUAUUGUAAAGAAACUUCACAGGAUUGUUGAAAGAAGUUCUCUGAUUUUGAGGGUUAUAUUAUUAUCUGAAAGCCGAAAUUUAAACUCGUGACAGGUAGUUAAAACUCUGAUAGUAUAGGACUAAUUCCUACGAAGACAAGAUGCCCAGAUGGUGUCUUUUGAAACCAGGCCAACACUCGAGGUACUAAACCUAGUACAGGACUCAAACUCACCACUAUACUUGGCAUACAAUGAUAUUUUGCAGACAAACGAGGCCGGCAUUUGUCUUCCUUAAGGCGUUCUCUCGUGAUGCAUUACAGGAAGAGGACAAAAGACGUGAAUGUAAGGUAGAAAAGAAAAUACCAACAGCAUUAUUGCCAAAACCUUUUGGGCGAAUGGCUAAGAACAUAUGAGAAUCACGAAAACAGUAAACUUACAAAAAGAAAAAGAUUAGCAAAACUGUUAUGUUACAUUCAUAAUAGAUUGAAUCCUUUGUGCACACUGACAGUAACAGAGAACUUCCAACAACUUAUAAAAACACAAAAGAAGAACAAUUCUUACAAACACAGAAUAUACAAUAGGCAUUCUCUCAUUCAGUUAACUAGAGAUGUCAAUCGCCUUGACUUCAGGUUUCUUGACUUCCUCUUUAGGCACAGUGACAGUAAGAACCCCGUUCUCCAUAGAAGCCUUGACAUGAUCCAUUUUCGCAUUCUCAGGCAGCCUGAACCUCCUCAGGAACUUGCCACAGCUACGCUCCACACGAUGCCAUGUAUCGUUCUGGUCUUCCUUCUCCACAUUCCUCUCUCCGCUGAUCUGAAGCACUCUGUCAUCUUCGAUUUCGACCUUCACUUCCUCUCUUUUUAGCCCCGGAAGAUCUGCCUCGAAUACAUGGGCUUCUGGGGUCUCUUUCCAAUCAAUGCGGGUGUUGACAAAGGCUGAGUUUUCACGAGAGAUGAGUGAAUGCGGGGAAGUGAAAGGGAAGUCUUUGAGUGGAUCCCAAACGUCGAAUGCAGAGACUGGGUCGAAAAUACUGUUGGCUCGUUGGUUGUAAAAGAAGCUUGGAAUCGUUGCCAUCUUUUACUUCUUUCUUCAGAAAAUUAACCUUCGUUUACCUGCUGCUAAUGUUUUGAUUGCUUCUUCUUGUUCUUGAUUUUUCUGUGCUAGAGGCGGGACAGGUCGGGUAUUUAUAAGUAAAGGAGGCAUCUGGUUUGUUCUGGACGAUCGAGUAGUACGCUGAACCAGGAAGAUUCUGGGUCCAACCAACAUCAGAUAAGAUCGAAGAACUUUCUCGUAAAUUCCAGAGUCCUCGGUUGUGAAUUGAAAAUGUGUGGAUUUGAUAUUCAAUUGGGUUUGAUUUUUUAAUGGGCUGAAGCCUUUGUUUUCCUAUUUUUCUCAUGGCCCAGUCUACUGUUAUCAUUGUUUUCUUUUUCAGUUUUCUUGCCUUAAAAGAUUUUCAGCUUAUUUUUACAUUUUAAAUGUAUUUUUAAACUAUUUUAUUUUAUUUUCUUUUAUUUUUUAAAAUUAAUUUUUAUAUGUUUUUAAACCAUUUUGAUGUAUUGAUGUUAAAAAUAAUUUUUUUUAAAAAUAAUAAAAAUAUUAUUUCAAUGUAUUUUCAAGUAAAAAUACUUUAAAAAUUAACCGAUAUCACAAUACCAGACAGACUUUUAAUACACGGAAGAUCUUGCAAACGAAUAAAAUAUAUAAAUUAUGAAAAUAAUAAUUUAAUGUAUAGACAUUUAAUUGAAAAGUACUUAGAUAUGUUCUUGAAUUAAGAAUCUAAUUUGAAACGGGCUUAAUUGAGUGCAAAGUAUAUAUAUAUAUAUAAUGAUUGAUAAUCACGUGUAGAAGUUGAAAACUAUCUAUUAUACUUUUAAUUAGAACCUUGUAUAAAUAAAAAUGACCGAUUGUUUACAGCAUUAAAAAUUCAUUUAAUAUUGUGAUAAUUUUUAUUUUUUUAAAAUAAUUGUUUUAUAAUUUUGAUAUAUUAAUAUUAAAAAAAAGUUAUUUUAAUAUAUUUUCAAAUAUAUAACCAACACUCCAGAUUAAAAAAUUCAAGGAUCUAGUUGCAUAAUAGCUUCGAUGUUAUGCUGAGCAGCUCAAAACUUAAAAACUAAUGGUCGUUGACUGAAAAUUCUCAGCACUUUAUUAUCCUGGGAAAUUCAAUAACUUCAAUGUUGCAUAUUUGAAAUCUAGUGGUUUCCAUGAUCUUUUGGACGGCUGGAUCUGUAUAAAGUAUCGUUGUCACUGCAUCCAUCUAUUAUCAACAAUGUGAUCGAUGGCAAUUAUCUCACCACAAUAUCAUGGGGCGUAGAAACAAGAUGCUGCAAGAAACCGAGUUCCAUCUCCAGAUUAUUCUAGCGAGGAAAUUCAAAAUAUACUCGAUUUGAUGAACAAUUUAUGUUCUGAAUGCAUCCUUCUAAUUCUUACGCCUCAAAGAGAUUUACAAAGGGAGGGAAGGGAACAUCAAAAAGCAAGAUACGCACAAAAUUACAAGCAACCGAGCAAGACUCAAGAAAUUUUAUAGCAAAACUUUUGAUUACAUUACUCCUCUCUGCAGACUGACGAGGAGACCAAACCUUUCAACUACUUGUAAAAGAGCACACAAAAACAAAAUAAACACACAAUUCUCAAAAGAGGUAUUAUCUCGUUCAACCAGAGAUUUCAAUAGCCUUGACAUCAGGUUUCUUGAUCUCUUCUUUAGGCACAGUCACAGUAAGAACUCCAUUUUCCAUAGAAGCCUUGACCUGAUCCAUUUUUGCAUUCUCAGGCAGCCUAAACCUCCUCAAGAACUUGCCACUGCUUCGCUCCACCCUAUGCCAUGCAUCGUUCUUGUCUUCCUUCUCCACAUUCCUAUCUCCGCUAAUCUGAAGCACCCUGUCAUCUUCAAUUUCGACCUUCACUUCCUCUUUUUUAAGCCCUGGAAGAUCUGCCUUGAAGACAUGGGCUUCUGGUGUCUCUUUCCAAUCAAUGCGGGUGUUGACAAAGGCUGAAUUUUCACGAGAAAGGAGAGAAUUUGAGGUGGAAGUGAAAGGGAACUCUUUGAGUGGAUCCCAAAUGUCGAAUGCGGAGAAUGAGUCGAAGAUGCUGCCGCCUCGGCGGUUGUUAAAGAAGCUCGGA
This 5881-nucleotide long non-coding RNA is filed under the name Populus trichocarpa (black cottonwood). RNAcentral's name for it is "long non-coding RNA (PTRI_LNC001308)". Lineage: Eukaryota; Viridiplantae; Streptophyta; Magnoliopsida; Malpighiales; Salicaceae. The record is from RNAcentral.